This 1054-nucleotide ribosomal RNA is filed under the name Salmonella enterica subsp. enterica serovar Enteritidis. RNAcentral's name for it is "partial 23S ribosomal RNA". It matches the Rfam family "Bacterial large subunit ribosomal RNA", at positions 140 to 1235 of the family's 2925-position model. Lineage: Bacteria; Pseudomonadati; Pseudomonadota; Gammaproteobacteria; Enterobacterales; Enterobacteriaceae. The record is from RNAcentral.
UCGUCACACUAUCAUUAACUGAAUCCAUAGGUUAAUGAGGCGAACCGGGGGAACUGAAACAUCUAAGUACCCCGAGGAAAAGAAAUCAACCGAGAUUCCCCCAGUAGCGGCGAGCGAACGGGGAGGAGCCCAGAGCCUGAAUCAGCAUGUGUGUUAGUGGAAGCGUCUGGAAAGGCGCGCGAUACAGGGUGACAGCCCCGUACACAAAAGCGCAUGUGCUGUGAGCUCGAUGAGUAGGGCGGGACACGUGGUAUCCUGUCUGAAUAUGGGGGGACCAUCCUCCAAGGCUAAAUACUCCUGACUGACCGAUAGUGAACCAGUACCGUGAGGGAAAGGCGAAAAGAACCCCGGCGAGGGGAGUGAAAAAGAACCUGAAACCGUGUACGUACAAGCAGUGGGAGCACCCUUUGGGUGUGACUGCGUACCUUUUGUAUAAUGGGUCAGCGACUUAUAUUCUGUAGCAAGGUUAACCGAAUAGGGGAGCCGGAGGGAAACCGAGUCUUAACCGGGCGUUAAGUUGCAGGGUAUAGACCCGAAACCCGGUGAUCUAGCCAUGGGCAGGUUGAAGGUUGGGUAACACUAACUGGAGGACCGAACCGACUAAUGUUGAAAAAUUAGCGGAUGACCUGUGGCUGGGGGUGAAAGGCCAAUCAAACCGGGAGAUAGCUGGUUCUCCCCGAAAGCUAUUUAGGUAGCGCCUCGUGAAUUCAUCUCCGGGGGUAGAGCACUGUUUCGGCUAGGGGGCCAUCCCGGCUUACCAACCCGAUGCAAACUGCGAAUACCGGAGAAUGUUAUCACGGGAGACACACGGCGGGUGCUAACGUCCGUCGUGAAGAGGGAAACAACCCAGACCGCCAGCUAAGGUCCCAAAGUCAUGGUUAAGUGGGAAACGAUGUGGGAAGGCCCAGACAGCCAGGAUGUUGGCUUAGAAGCAGCCAUCAUUUAAAGAAAGCGUAAUAGCUCACUGGUCGAGUCGGCCUGCGCGGAAGAUGUAACGGGGCUAAACCAUGCACCGAAGCUGCGGCAGCGACACUGUGUGUUGUUGGGUAGGGGA